This 72-nucleotide transfer RNA is filed under the name Marmota marmota marmota (Alpine marmot). It matches the Rfam family "tRNA". From Rfam's summary of the family: Transfer RNA (tRNA) molecules are approximately 80 nucleotides in length. RNAcentral also lists the same sequence under 3 other names. Lineage: Eukaryota; Metazoa; Chordata; Mammalia; Rodentia; Sciuridae. The record is from Rfam by way of RNAcentral.
GGGGGUGAAGCCCAGUGGUACAGCACUUGCCUAGCAUGCAUGAGGCUCUGGGUUCAAUACCCAGCACUGCAA